UACGGAAGGCAGCAGUGGGGAAUAUUGCACAAUGGGCGAAAGCCUGAUGCAGCUAUGCCGCGUGUAUGAAGAAGGCCUUAGGGUUGUAAAGUACUUUCAGCAGGGAGGAAAGAAAUAAAACUAAUAAUUUUAUUUUGUGACGUUACCUGAAGAAGAAGCACCGGCUAACUCCGUGCCAGCAGCCGCGGUAAUACGGAGGGUGCAAGCGUUAAUCAGAAUUACUGGGCGUAAAGAGCGCGUAGGUGGUUUUUUUAAGUCAGAUGUGAAAUCCCUAGGCUUAACUUAGGAACUGCAUUUUGAAACUGAAAACUAGAGUAUCGUAGAGGGAGGUAGAAUUCUAGGUGUAGCGGUGAAAUGCGUAGAUAUCUGGAGGAAUACCUGUGGCGAAAGCGGCCUCCUAAACGAAUACUGACACUGAGGUGCGAAAGCGUGGGGAGCGAAACAGGGAUUAGAUACC
This 457-nucleotide ribosomal RNA is filed under the name uncultured bacterium. RNAcentral describes it as "bacterial SSU rRNA". It matches the Rfam family "Bacterial small subunit ribosomal RNA", at positions 340 to 786 of the family's 1533-position model. The record is from RNAcentral.